Molecule: long non-coding RNA, 386 nt
Organism: Eufriesea mexicana
Lineage: Eukaryota; Metazoa; Arthropoda; Insecta; Hymenoptera; Apidae
Exons: 3
Source: RefSeq, a predicted model, not a curated record
CGACGAGUUUCCCAGAAGAAGGUGGAGCAUCUUGGCCUGACUCUCGACUCGAAACGAGGCUUCGCCGUGGAGAGGAGAAAUGUCGAGAGAGAAGGAAUGCUGAGCCUCUCCGAGAGAUCGAGAAGCCUCACAGGAGCUAGCUAAUCCAGUGUUAGACCUAAUAGCGUGCUAUUGUACUGAUAGCGUUCUUCGUGCCAAUUAGGAUCACGUGUGAACGUGAUCCAUUACCAACCACUCUAAUGGCAGUUCGUGUGCACACUGAAAUCCAGGUUAAAGGUACCCAAGAAGCUUUCCAAUCUUUAAUAGCUAUUCGCUAUUUGAUAUUGGAUCUAAAAGUGUUCCACUAUUUCCUGCCACUAUGCUGUUUUAUGGUCAUAUAAUUUACU